GUAGGUGAACCUGCGGAGGGAUCAUUACCGAGAUUCGGGUCCCUUUGGGGGCCUGACCCUCCCACCCUUUGUGUAUAUACCCUCGUUGCUUCGGCGUACCCCGCGGUCAACGGUGCUGCUCGACACGCCGGACCCGGGCCGUCAGUGGCCCCUAUCAAUUCUGAAUGUAUCGGUGACGUCUGAGCGUACACAUGCAAAACGAACAAAAUUUUCAACAACGGAUCUCUUGGUUCCGGCAUCGAUGAAGAAC
Molecule: unclassified non-coding RNA, 250 nt
Filed under: plant metagenome
Description: partial contains small subunit ribosomal RNA, internal transcribed spacer 1, and 5.8S ribosomal RNA
Source: RNAcentral